GUGAAGGUGGCUCAGUGGUAGAGUGCUUGCCUUGCAUGCAAGAGGCCCUGGGUUCAAUUCCUCAGCAUCACA
This 72-nucleotide transfer RNA is filed under the name Dipodomys ordii (Ord's kangaroo rat). It matches the Rfam family "tRNA". From Rfam's summary of the family: Transfer RNA (tRNA) molecules are approximately 80 nucleotides in length. Their secondary structure includes four short double-helical elements and three loops (D, anti-codon, and T loops). Lineage: Eukaryota; Metazoa; Chordata; Mammalia; Rodentia; Heteromyidae. The record is from Rfam by way of RNAcentral.